Molecule: ribosomal RNA, 418 nt
Filed under: uncultured bacterium
Lineage: Bacteria
Description: bacterial SSU rRNA
Rfam family: Bacterial small subunit ribosomal RNA
Source: RNAcentral
UAGAGUUUGAUCCUGGCUCAGGACGAACGCUGGCGGCGUGCCUAACACAUGCAAGUCGAACGAAGCCUUCGGGCUUAGUGGCGGACGGGUGAGUAACGCGUGAACAAUCUGCCCUGUACAGAGGAAUAGCCUCGGGAAACCGGGAUUAAAACCACAUGACACUUCAUUAUUGCAUGAUAGAGAAGUCAAAUAUUUAUAGGUAUGGGAUGAGUUCGCGUCUGAUUAGCUAGUUGGUGGGGUAAUGGCCUACCAAGGCAACGAUCAGUAGCCGGCCUGAGAGGGUGAACGGCCACACUGGAACUGAGACACGGUCCAGACUCCUACGGGAGGCAGCAGUGGGGAAUAUUGCACAAUGGAGGGAACUCUGAUGCAGCGACGCCGCGUGAGUGAAGAAGGUUUUCGGAUCGUAAAACUCUGU